CUGAACCAGCCAAGUAGCGUGAAGGAUGACUGCCCUAUGGGUUGUAAACUUCUUUUAUAUGGGAAUAAAGUGGGCCACGUGUGGCUUUUUGUAUGUACCAUAUGAAUAAGGAUCGGCUAACUCCGUGCCAGCAGCCGCGGUAAUACGGAGGAUCCGAGCGUUAUCCGGAUUUAU
This 174-nucleotide ribosomal RNA is filed under the name uncultured bacterium. RNAcentral describes it as "partial 16S ribosomal RNA". It matches the Rfam family "Bacterial small subunit ribosomal RNA", at positions 383 to 554 of the family's 1533-position model. The record is from RNAcentral.